Long non-coding RNA from Dermacentor albipictus, 155 nucleotides. RefSeq lists it as uncharacterized. NCBI's taxonomy places the organism in Eukaryota, Metazoa, Arthropoda, Arachnida, Ixodida, Ixodidae. The record is from RefSeq and is a predicted model, not a curated record.
UGGCAUUCCGCUUUAUUUUAUUUUUAUUUUACGUCCACGUCCAAGGACACGUGAGCGCUAUGCUGGCAAAGAAGAAACAAUGGUGGUCAGGAGAAACUGUUCGAGUAGACCAACCGCCGGACCACCUGCACGCCUGCCGACUUGCUCGUCUGUGC